AUGGAUCCAUGGUGGCACCCCCGCCUCCCGAUGUGUGCUGGAGCGAGGUGGCCGGCGAGCUGCCUCCUCCCAGCGUGGUCAGGCUCCAUGGCCAGCGGAAGGACAUCGCGGUGCUGCCGGGCUGCUCGGCUCCGCCCUAUCCUCCACAACCAUAGCCUUCGACGAGACUCCAGGCAACGGGAUCGAGCCAUCCCAUGUCAGAUCCCACCGCCAUGUUCCCUGCAGGUCAGUUGGAUCGCUGAUGCAGUACCCAACCAGCUCAUCCCUUGGCCGUGCAGUUCGCCGUGGACCACUGGUUUUUCGGCUUCGUCCGGUCCAGCCACCUCCAAAAAUUUGGUGUGA
This 342-nucleotide ribosomal RNA is filed under the name Triticum aestivum (bread wheat). RNAcentral's name for it is "partial small subunit ribosomal RNA". Lineage: Eukaryota; Viridiplantae; Streptophyta; Magnoliopsida; Poales; Poaceae. The record is from RNAcentral.